RNAcentral lists this ribosomal RNA (1923 nucleotides) under activated sludge metagenome. RNAcentral describes it as "bacterial LSU rRNA". It matches the Rfam family "Bacterial large subunit ribosomal RNA", at positions 1117 to 2925 of the family's 2925-position model. The record is from RNAcentral.
CAUGAUUUAAAGAGUGCGUAACAGCUCACUGGUCGAGUGGUAGAGCACCGAAGAUAAUCGGGACUUAAGUAUUUUACCGAAGCUGCGGAGCAACACGCUUGCGUGUUGCUGGUAGGAGAGCAUUGUGAACAGCGUUGAAGGUGGAUUGUAAGAUCUGCUGGAGCGUUCACAAGAGACCAUGUCGGCAUGAGUAACGACAAUGCGGGUGAGAAACCCGCACACCACAAGCCCGAGGAUUCCUGAGUAAAGUUAAUCUUCUCAGGGUUAGUCGGCCCCUAAGGUAUAGCGAAUAGCGAAGCUGAUGGGAAUCAGGUUAAUAUUCCUGAACCUGUGUAUGAUGCGAUGGAGUGACGCGACGGUGCAGCGGGGACUGCUGUUGGAAUAGCAGUUGAACGCGUGUAGGAGGUGGUGCAGGCAAAUCCGUGCCACAUGCACUCCGAGGCGUGGGACGAGGCGCAAGCCGUAAAGUCCGCCUAUAAACGUCGCCGAGAAACAGCUUCUAAGCUUCAGUCAUGCACAGACCGUACCGCAAACCGACACAGGUGGGCGAGGAGAAUAUCCUAAGGUGUUCGAGCGAACUCUGGUUAAGGAACUAGGCAAAAUAACCCCGUAACUUCGGGAGAAGGGGUGCCCCGUUAUCGUGAGGGUGUACAGCCCAGAGCGAGAGGGGGCCGCAGUGAAGAGGCCCAAGCGACUGUUUAUCAAAAACACAGGUCUAUGCGAAGGCGAAAGUCACGGUAUAUAGACUGACACCUGCCCGGUGCCGGAAGGUUAAAUGGAGAGGUCAUCCCUGUUCCACAGAUCUUCGUGAGAUAGCAGCCAUCCUGACCAAGAAAGCAAAUGAGAGAUCGAGAGAUCGGAUCAGACGUGAAACUGGAAAGGAAGGAUUGCCAUCCACGGAGAUGCGUGGAACGGGGAGAAGCUUCGAAAUGAAGCCCCGGUAAACGGCGGCCGUAACUAUAACGGUCCUAAGGUAGCGAAAUUCCUUGUCGGGUAAGUUCCGACCUGCACGAAUGGUGUAACGAUUUGGGCGCUGUCUCAACCAGGGGCUCGGUGAAAUUGAAGUAGCGGUGAAGAUGCCGCUUACCCGCGAACGGACGGAAAGACCCCGUGAACCUUUACUGUAGCUUGGCAUUGUAAAUUGGUGCAGUAUGUGUAGGAUAGGUGGGAGGCUAUGAAGCGUGCACGCUAGUGUGUGUGGAGCCGACGUUGAAAUACCACCCUUAUUGUAUCGGUUUACUAACGAUGGUAAAGCCAUCGGACAUUGCCAGGUGGGCAGUUUGACUGGGGCGGUCGCCUCCGAAAGAGUAACGGAGGCUUACCAAGGUUCCCUCCGGCUGGUUGGUAAUCAGCCAUAGAGCAUAAAGGCAUAAGGGAGCUUGACUGCGAGACUGACGGGUCGAGCAGGUUGGAAACAAGGUCUUAGUGAUCCGGCGGUCCUGAAUGGAAGGGCCGUUGCUCAAAGGAUAAAAGGUACUCCGGGGAUAACAGGCUGAUACCGCCCAAGAGUUCAUAUCGACGGCGGUGUUUGGCACCUCGAUGUCGGCUCAACUCAUCCUGGGGCUGAAGAAGGUCCCAAGGGUUCGGCUGUUCGCCGAUUAAAGAGUUACGCGAGCUGGGUUCAGAACGUCGUGAGACAGUUCGGUCCCUAUCCUUCGUGGGCGCAGGAAAUUUGAGGAGCUCUGCAUUUAGUACGAGAGGACCGGUGUGGACGAACCUCUGGUGUACCGGUUGUGAUGCCAAUUGCAUUGCCGGGUAGCCACGUUCGGAGAGGAUAACCGCUGAAAGCAUCUAAGCGGGAAGCCAGCUCCAAGAUGAGAUUUCCCAACAGACAGGUUGGAGACUACAACCUUGAUAGGUCACAGGUGUAAGCGCGGCAACGCGUUCAGCCGAGUGAUACUAAUAAGUCGAUUGGCUUUCGCC